AUAACAAUACCGAGCUCCAAGAGUCUGGUAAUUGGAAUGAGUACAAUCUAAACCCCUUAACGAGGAUCCAUUGGACAGCAAGUCUGGUGCCAGCAGCCGCGGUAAUUCCAGCUCCAA
Molecule: ribosomal RNA, 117 nt
Filed under: Amborella trichopoda
Lineage: Eukaryota; Viridiplantae; Streptophyta; Magnoliopsida; Amborellales; Amborellaceae
Description: rRNA SSU_rRNA_eukarya
Rfam family: Eukaryotic small subunit ribosomal RNA
Source: RNAcentral